GAUGAACGCUGGCGGCGUGCUUAACACAUGCAAGUCGAACGAAGCACUUUAAUCGAUUUCUUCGGAUUGAAAUUUUAGUGACUGAGUGGCGGACGGGUGAGUAACGCGUGGGUAACCUGCCUCACACAGGGGGAUAACAGUUGGAAACGGCUGCUAAUACCGCAUAAGCGCACAGUACCGCAUGGUACGGUGUGAAAAACUCCGGUGGUGUGAGAUGGACCCGCGUCUGAUUAGCUAGUUGGCAGGGUAACGGCCUACCAAGGCGACGAUCAGUAGCCGACCUGCGAGGGUGACCGGCCACAUUGGGACUGAGACACGGCACAAACUCCUACGGGAGGCAGCAGUGAGGAAUAUUGCACAAUGGGGGAAACCCUGAUGCAGCGACGCCGCGUGAGCGAAGAAGUAUUUCGGUAUGUAAAGCUCUAUCAGCAGGGAAGAAGAAAUGACGGUACCUGACUAAGAAGCACCGGCUAAAUACGUGCCAGCCGCCGCGGUAA
RNAcentral lists this ribosomal RNA (497 nucleotides) under uncultured bacterium. RNAcentral describes it as "partial 16S ribosomal RNA". It matches the Rfam family "Bacterial small subunit ribosomal RNA", at positions 28 to 523 of the family's 1533-position model. The record is from RNAcentral.